This is a small nuclear RNA of Panthera leo (lion), 109 nucleotides long. NCBI's taxonomy places the organism in Eukaryota, Metazoa, Chordata, Mammalia, Carnivora, Felidae. The record is from Ensembl.
AUGCUUGUUUUAGCAGCACAUGUACUAAAAUUGGAACCAUACAGAGAGAAGAUUCGCAUGGCCCUUGCACAAGGAUGACACACAAAUUCAUGAAGCAUUCCAUAUGAAA